GCCAGGCACGGUGGCACAUGCCUGUAGUUCCAGCUACUCCGGAGGCUGAGGUGGGAGGACUGCUUGAGCCCAGGAGUUCUCGGCUGUAGUGAGCUAUGCUGAUCAGGUGUCUGCACUAAGUUCAGCAUCAAUAUGGUGAUGUCCCAGAAGUGGGGCACCACCAGGUUGCCUAAGGAGGGGUGAACCAGUCAGAAACAGAGCAGGUCAAAACCCCCUUGCUGAUCAGUAGUGGGAUCAUGCCUGCGAAUAGCCACUGUAUUCCAGCCUGGGCAACAAGCGAGACCCUCUCUCU
Molecule: signal recognition particle RNA, 292 nt
Filed under: Cebus imitator (Panamanian white-faced capuchin)
Lineage: Eukaryota; Metazoa; Chordata; Mammalia; Primates; Cebidae
Description: Metazoan signal recognition particle RNA (ENSCCAG00000010516.1)
Rfam family: Metazoan signal recognition particle RNA
About the family: The signal recognition particle (SRP) is a universally conserved ribonucleoprotein. It is involved in the co-translational targeting of proteins to membranes.
Source: RNAcentral